CGCUGCUCAGACCUCCGCUCCGACCGCGGCUCAUGCUGCGGACGCCACACCGAGCUCACGCACGAGUCCCCCGGCCGCACAGCAGCCCCAGCGCACGCACCGGCGCACGGCACGAUGGAGCGGAUGGAGUCUAUGGAGCCCAUCUCCGCUUACUACACCACGGCGUACCCGGAGAUCCAGCCCGAAAGCGGCUACGGCUCCGGAGAGAAGACCCCCCCUGCGCCCGCGUACAACGAAGAGCUGGUGCACAAGACCAUCCUGGUGGGCGACAGUGGAGUCGGGAAGACGUCUCUCUUGGUGCAGUUCGAUCAGGGGAAGUUCAUCCCCGGCUCCUUCUCCGCCACAGUGGGCAUCGGCUUCACGAAUAAAGUGGUGACUGUGGACAACGUCAAAGUCAAACUCCAGAUCUGGGACACUGCAGGACAGGAGCGCUUCAGGAGUGUCACACAUGCAUACUACAGAGACGCACACGCUCUGCUUCUGCUCUACGACAUCACCAGCAAAUCCUCCUUUGACAACAUCCGAGCCUGGCUCACAGAGAUCCAUGAGUACGCACAGAGUGAUGUCGUCAUCAUGUUGCUAGGUAACAAGGCGGACAUGAACAGUGAGCGAGCCAUCAGGAGAGAGGAGGGGGAGAGACUAGCCAGGGAAUACUCUGUACCUUUCAUGGAGACCAGUGCCAAGACCGGAGUCAACGUAGAACUGGCUUUUACUGCAGUGGCCAAAGAACUGAAGAGCCGGUCCAUCCAGCACCCCAGUGAGCCCAAGUUCAAGAUCCACGAGUACAUCGAAGCCCAGAAGGAGAAGUCAGGCUGCUGCGGACUCUUCUGAACGCCGGCCCUUUGAGAGGUCGAUUUACCGCACUCUAAGUGAAGGAACCGACCCACAGACUGAGAACCGUCAUCUACAAGCCCAACACGGAACCAGACCAGGCUACUUACUCAAACGAACGAACGAAAUAGGCCUUUUCUGGGAGCCAUGGGAGAAGUUUGAAGUUCGGUUCCUGUUUGGUAUUUUGUUUUAUCUAUUCAGUUCAGUAACUCCUUGAUCUUGGGGGACGACUGUGCUCUCCUUUAUUAAGAGUCUUACCAAGCUGCUGUUUGUUAAAGGGCCCAUAUUACACGAUUUUCUGAUCCAUGUUCUAAUGUUGCUCCUCAUCACAAACAGACCUGGAGUUGUGAUUUGUUUCAUUCACACAUGUUUAACACACGAACCCUGCACAUUUACACUGAGUUCUUCUCUCAUUUUCAUUUGGUCUUCUGAUAAUUUAUGUUAUUAGGUUCUUUUUUCAGACCAAGAGUGUCAACAAACUCUACGUUGUAAGAACAUUAUUCGACAAAACCAUCAUUAUAACAGAUGAACAAGACAAACAGGAGGAAGACAGACACAUCCACAACACUCGGAAGCAACGCCAGUACACAAAACAGAUAUGUGGCCCUUGAUGAAAAAAGUUUGGACACCCCUGGUCUAUGACAAAAGGAACAUAAGACAGAGUGCGAGAAGGAAACAGCGAAGACGAAACACAAGCAACAAAACACAAAGCAGAACAAGAACAACUCAAAUCAGCCGUUUCUGAACACUGUAAAAGAGAGAAGCACAUUCUGGACUGAGACGGAGCGAACAUCACUAGAACAGAGGACUCAAACAUUGUCGCUGGAUUAAAGGUUGUAUGGAGGAUUUUUUUUUUGUUUUGUUUCAAAUUGUCAGUGAAAGUUCAAAAUAGAAUUAUAAAGAUGCAGCAGCUUUGUAAUUAUGACGACCAAAAAAAAGAAAAAGAAUGAAAAUCCAUCAACUGUGGGCAUGGUGGGGACAAAUAAACAUCAGCCAAUAGAUAACAAGGCUACGUCUUUAUCUAUUGGCUGUCAGGUUGUCAAUCAAACUCCUUUUGACUGACUUGCCGGCGCUCUGGGAUUACGUGGUUUACAUUCGCCUCUCACGCACUGACGCCGUUUACUCAACCGACACAGCGGUUCUUAGCGUCUUUUUGGAACUGUAGCCUCCUCUCAGUUUGCACAAAGUUUGUUGUAAUGGCAGAAAGUCUGUUUUUGAUGUCACUGAAAGAAGAAGGGAAGGGCAAAAGGAGCGAAACACAACACUUGAAAAAGGACAAACAGUCGCUGCAUUUCUCUUUCCUGGAAAAUCUUCUAUACAACCUUUAAAGACGCAAUCUAAAUACAGAAACGUGCCCACGGGACGAUAAACCGGGACGAGGGGCUUUUUUAUUCUCACACACCUGGGAUACUGUUUUGAUGAAGCAGAACUGCAGGUAAACUGUUUAAAUCAGCUGAGUGACGUCACAGCAACAUCACGAAACUCUGAGGAGGACCGCAAGAGCAGAACAAACUGUCAGGGAUGAAAACAAACUUUUGGUCUGAUAAAAGAACCUAAUAACAUAAAGAGAAAACACUGUUCCACUUUGAGGUGUCAUGUGGUAACACAGAAAGUGCUCCAGUGUGUUUUUAAACUCCGUACAUCUUCACUAGAACCAUUUGGAUUAUUUUAAAUAUUGUUAAUCUUGACUGAACUAAAAGUAAAAAGAGCUGACAAGUUUAUUUGUACAUCACAAUUCGUACACAAAGUAAUUCAAAGUGCUUUAUAGAAUAAGAAAUACAUUAAAAUCAAUAAAAACAAAUCAAAACAUAAAUAAUCAUGAAGAUUAAAAUUUAAUUAAAAAGAGAGACAUAAAUUAAAGAGAAGAGUGAAUGAAAACCUUUCAGUUAUAUGCACAGUCAAACAGAACCGUUUUGAGCCUGGAUUUAAACAGAGUCAAAGUUGAGUCUGUGUCACAUGUUCAGACUGUUCCAGGUUUUAGCUGCAUGAACCUGAAACGCUCUUGUUUAGUCGUGACUCUGGGCACCAGCAGGAGGCUGGUCCCUGAGCUCCUCAGAGUGUGAGAUGGUUCAUAUGACACUAACAUGUCACAGAUGGACUUUGGUGCUCGACCAUGGAGACACUUGUUCAGUGCAGAGACCUGAGCACAGGACCUAUGUACUCAUACUUCCUAGUUCGAGUCAUGACCCGAGCUGCAGCAUUCUGGAUGUUCUGGAUGUUCUGCAACGUCUCACAGCUCGUUUGGAGAGACCAGUGAGCAGAACAUUACAGUAUCUAACCUACUGGAGACAAACGCAUGGAUAAGUUUCUCCAACUCUGAUUUAGACAGUAAACCUUUGAUUUUUGCGAUGUUUUUUAGAUGGUAAAAGGCUGCAGAUGUUAUUGAUUUGAUGUGGUUUUUAAAGUUCAAGUCUGAGUCCAUUAUUACCCCGAGAUUUCUUGCCUGAUUUGAAGGUUUUAGAGAGAGAGACUGGAGGUGACUGCUGACACUGUCCCUUUGUUUCUGUGGACCAAACACUAUGACUUCAGUCUUGUCAGAGUUUAGCUGGAGAAAGUUGUUUUGCGUCCACACACUGAUCUGUUGGAUGCAGUGACAAAGUGAGUCCACUGGUCCAGAGUCUCCUGCUGCAAAAUUGUGGUAGGACACAUUAUUGCUGCUUAUUAACUGGCCUGUAGGGGGCAGCAUGUAGAGAUUGAACAAAAGAGGGCCCAGGAUUGACCCCUGGGGCACCCCACAGGUCAGGGUCAUGUGAUCUGAGACACAGUUUCCAAUUUCAACAAAAUACUUCCUGUCUUCUAGAUAGGACUUGAACCUGAUGAAUUAACUAAAACUACCGCUUCAUGACACGACGUAAACAACCUAAUACUUCAGUACUAUUCAAACAUGUGUGAAGGAAACAAAACACAACUCCAGGUCUGUUUUUGAGGAGAUAAUGAUAUUCUAACAUGGCUUAAAGUACAUUUCGGGUAAUAUAGAGGCUUUGCACCGUCACGU
This is an RNA transcript of Boleophthalmus pectinirostris (great blue-spotted mudskipper), 3826 nucleotides long. It is a transcript of the gene named ras-related protein Rab-37-like, with no coding region annotated. The transcript has 10 exons. The record is from RefSeq and is a predicted model, not a curated record. NCBI's taxonomy places the organism in Eukaryota, Metazoa, Chordata, Actinopteri, Gobiiformes, Gobiidae.